Molecule: long non-coding RNA, 441 nt
Filed under: Nicotiana benthamiana
Lineage: Eukaryota; Viridiplantae; Streptophyta; Magnoliopsida; Solanales; Solanaceae
Description: long non-coding RNA (NBEN_LNC034100)
Source: RNAcentral
AAGAUCCACGGACUGAAGGAAGAAAUACUUUUAGGUGAAGGUCCAGUAUUUCCUGCUGCUUGUACUACAAAGAUGCCAGCCUUAACUGCUGACAGCAAGGCCAUAUCAAUAGGAUUAAAGAAAGUAGCGACACCAGGAGGACGCCUGUUUGGAGUGAUUGAUAAAUUGAUUAUGUCCACACCAUCCUGAGCUGCCUAUAGCAAGGCCAUGUCUAUAGGAUUAAAGAAAGUAGCGACACCAGGAGGACGCCUGUUUGGAGUGAUUGAUAAAUUAAUUAUGUCCACUCCAUCCUGGGCUGCCUAUCAAUGAAAACAGAUAAGUAUCAGUGCUACGGAAUGAAGAUCUAUCUUGUUUUUGCUUUGUGAAGAUGCUCCUCAUGCUUACUACAAUGAUGAUGAAGAGAGUACAAUUUGAUAUGAAAUAAGGUUUUCAUACAUGAAC